UGCGUAGGCGGGUUUUAAGUCAGGGGUGAAAUCCUGGAGCUCAACUCCAGAACUGCCUUUGAUACUGAAGAUCUUGAGUCCGGGAGAGGUGAGUGGAACUGCGAGUGUAGAGGUGAAAUUCGUAGAUAUUCGCAAGAACACCAGUGGCGAAGGCGGCUCACUGGCCCGGUACUGACGCUGAGGCACGAAAGCGUGGGGAGCAAACA
Molecule: ribosomal RNA, 206 nt
Filed under: uncultured bacterium
Lineage: Bacteria
Description: partial 16S ribosomal RNA
Rfam family: Bacterial small subunit ribosomal RNA
Source: RNAcentral